UACGUAGGGGGCAAGCGUUAUCCGGAUUUACUGGGUGUAAAGGGAGCGUAGACGGCAGUGCAAGUCUGAAGUGAAAGGCAAGGGCUCAACCCUUGGACUGCUUUGGAAACUGUGCUGCUGGAGUGUCGGAGAGGCAAGUGGAAUUCCUAGUGUAGCGGUGAAAUGCGUAGAUAUUAGGAGGAACACCAGUGGCGAAGGCGGCUUGCUGGACGAUGACUGACGUUGAGGCUCGAAAGCGUGGGUAUCGAACAGG
This 253-nucleotide ribosomal RNA is filed under the name uncultured bacterium. RNAcentral describes it as "partial 16S ribosomal RNA". It matches the Rfam family "Bacterial small subunit ribosomal RNA", at positions 524 to 776 of the family's 1533-position model. The record is from RNAcentral.